UCUUUGACCUUUUUAUAGGUUAAAGGAUAUAUGAGCAUUCCGCGUUUUUUCGCGGUAGCUUGAAAUAUAUGGUUAAUCUCAUCAAGUUGAGAUGUGUAAUAUUAAAUUAUUUCGCAAAACACUUGACGAGUUACCAAGUUUUCGAGUGUUUAACAAAGUUGAAUACGGACAAAACAAUAAAAUUUUGACAUUACCUCAAAUCAGGUAGGACUACCCGCUGAACUUAAGCAUAUCAAUAAGCGGAGGAAAAGAAACUAACAAGGAUUCCCUUAGUAACGGCGAGUGAAGUGGGAAGAGCUCAAAUUUUAAAUCUCCAAGGUUUCACCUUGGUGAGUUGUAAUUUGAAGAAAGUGUUUUGAUAUUCGGGUUUUACCUAAAUCCUUUGGGAUAGGGUAUCAUAGAGGGUGAGAAUCCCGUUCAUGGUUAAACCUCGGGUGUCACAUAAUUCACUUUCUAAGAGUCGAGUUGUUUGGGAUUGCAGCUCAAAAUGGGUGGUAAAUUUCACCUAAGGCUAAAUAUGUGCAAGAGACCGAUAGCGAACAAGUACCGUGAGGGAAAGAUGAAAAGAACUUUGAAAAGAGAGUUAAACAGUACGUGAAAUUGUUGAAAGGGAAACGAUUGAAGUCAGUCAUGCUAAUAGGGAAUCAACUCGUUGGUGUAUUAAUUCAUUAGUACACUUUCUAGUGUACUUCCUUAUUUGGCAGUUUAGCAUCAAUUUUGGUCAUCAUAAAAAAUUUGAGGGAAUGUGGCUUCCUUCGGGAAGUGUUAUAGACCUUAAUAUAUGUGGUGACCGGGAUUGAGGAUUGCAGCGAAUGCUUUUGGCUAGUUUACCCUCCUUCUGACGGUUACCCUGCUUCUGAUAGCAUGCUAACUUUGGUGGGACACGGCAGUCUUAAAGGGCGGAGUGAUCUAAAUUCGCUAAGGAUGCUGACGUAAUGG
This 939-nucleotide ribosomal RNA is filed under the name uncultured Acaulospora. RNAcentral's name for it is "eukaryotic LSU rRNA". The stretch from base 191 to 939 matches the Rfam family "Eukaryotic large subunit ribosomal RNA", at positions 1 to 637 of the family's 3401-position model. Lineage: Eukaryota; Fungi; Glomeromycota; Glomeromycetes; Diversisporales; Acaulosporaceae. The record is from RNAcentral.